UGCAUUUUUUAGAGAUAGAAAUUCCCUUCGGGGCUUUCUGCAAGGUGCUGCAUGGUUGUCGUCAGCUCGUGCCGUGAGGUGUCGGGUUAAGUCCCAUAACGAGCGCAACCCUUAUCGUUAGUUGCCAUCUGGUAAUGCAGGGGACUCUAGCGAAACUGCCACCGUAAGGUGAGAGGAAGUGGGAUGACGUCAAAUCAGCACGGCCCUUAUGUCCAGGGCUACACACGUGUUACAAUGGUCGGUACAGAGGGCAGCUACCUGGUGACAGGAUGCUAAUCUCGAAAACCGGUCUCAGUUCGGAUCGAAGUCUGCAACUCGACUUCGUGAAGCUGGAUUCGCUAGUAAUCGCGCAUCAGCUAUGGCCGCGGUCGAAUACGUUCCGGCCUU
RNAcentral lists this ribosomal RNA (387 nucleotides) under uncultured Sphingobacteriales bacterium. Its description in RNAcentral is "bacterial SSU rRNA". It matches the Rfam family "Bacterial small subunit ribosomal RNA", at positions 992 to 1374 of the family's 1533-position model. The record is from RNAcentral. Lineage: Bacteria; Pseudomonadati; Bacteroidota; Sphingobacteriia; Sphingobacteriales.